CGCACCCAACCAUUGGAGCUGUCGGCCAAAGUUGAAGAAACGCCGGGUAGUUUGCCUGCGUGGCCAAAGUGCCGUUUAAUAAUGGAACAAACGCAGUGCCACGGUGAGUUUGUGCCUUUAGCGCUGAACUCCUGACCUCUGACCAGCCGGCGGACCAGGAAGUGAGCGCACCUUUCCAUUGCCAAAACGACAACAACAAAAAAGGUGGCAACAGUUCCAUUUCCAGCAAGCCGGACUAAGCAAACAGUGGCGAAGAUGUUGUCUGGACAGCGGCAGCUGGGAAUGGAUGGACAGAAAAGUGCAGCUUGCAAGGUCAACAUGGCGUAUGCGCGAUGUUUGAGGACUUUCAAACACCCGCUGUACACCUUGGUAAUUAAUUUUCAGUAUACCGAGAACUGCAGACGUGGUACAAUUAACUAUUUAGACUAAGCUAUUCACUAAGUUCAACAUAAUGGCGAAGCAUGAGUUUAGUCAAAAACAGUCGAUUCAUGUUGAAGAUGUCGUUGAUUGAAAGCUCCACUAAUUGGCAAAAAAUAUAUGAAACGAACAAUUUAAUAAUGAUCGAAUUUCCCGUGAAAUAUCCGGCCAUCGAUACAUGAAUCUUAGAAGCUUGGUAAUUGGAAAUUGUCCGGAAAACGAAGAGCAGAUAUGGCAACCAAAUGAAAUUGUUUUAAUUUGUAAGCAGGCUUGCAGUUAAUAAAUUAU
Drosophila melanogaster (fruit fly) is the source of this 705-nucleotide non-coding RNA. Lineage: Eukaryota; Metazoa; Arthropoda; Insecta; Diptera; Drosophilidae. The record is from Ensembl.